GACGAACGCUGGCGGCGUGCUUAACACAUGCAAGUCGAACGGAAAGGCCCUGCUUUUGUGGGGUGCUCGAGUGGCGAACGGGUGAGUAACACGUGAGUAACCUGCCCUUGACUUUGGGAUAACUUCAGGAAACUGGGGCUAAUACCGGAUAGGAGCUCCUGCUGCAUGGUGGGGGUUGGAAAGUUUCGGCGGUUGGGGAUGGACUCGCGGCUUAUCAGCUUGUUGGUGGGGUAGUGGCUUACCAAGGCUUUGACGGGUAGCCGGCCUGAGAGGGUGACCGGCCACAUUGGGACUGGGAUACGGCCCAGACUCCUAGGGGAGGCAGCAGGGGGGAAUAUUGCACGAGGGGCGGAAGCCUGAUGCAGCAACGCCGCGUGCGGGAGGACGGCCUUCGGGUUGUAAACCGCUUUCGCCUGUGACGAAGCGUGAGUGACGGUAAUGGGUAAAGAAGCACCGGCUAACUACGUG
RNAcentral lists this ribosomal RNA (468 nucleotides) under uncultured bacterium. RNAcentral describes it as "partial 16S ribosomal RNA". It matches the Rfam family "Bacterial small subunit ribosomal RNA", at positions 28 to 507 of the family's 1533-position model. The record is from RNAcentral.